UCUUCUCCUCUACACAGUAGAGCGUGGACGACCAUGUGCAGAGAGCAAAUCAGGAGGGAUGAUCUGGAGUCUCUUGGCUAUAUGAUUAUGUAUUUUCUUCAAGGAAGCUCCAUCAGGUUUUGGGCUCUAAGUGGCGAAGUUCUAAGUCACGACUCUUCACCAAGGUGGUUUGUUUGGUACAGUGGAGUACCAGCUUCACAGCAGAACCUUGAAGACACUGAUGAAACUUGUGCAGAUUCAAGAUAUCAUUUUGAUCAUGGAAGUGGUU
Molecule: long non-coding RNA, 268 nt
Organism: Brassica oleracea var. oleracea
Lineage: Eukaryota; Viridiplantae; Streptophyta; Magnoliopsida; Brassicales; Brassicaceae
Exons: 3
Source: RefSeq, a predicted model, not a curated record